Molecule: ribosomal RNA, 1674 nt
Filed under: Candidatus Wolfebacteria bacterium
Lineage: Bacteria; Candidatus Wolfeibacteriota
Description: bacterial SSU rRNA
Rfam family: Bacterial small subunit ribosomal RNA
Source: RNAcentral
UUGAGAGUUUGAUCCUAGCUCAGGAUGAACGCUGGCGGCGUGGAUAAGGCAUGCAAGUCGUGCGAUUUAUUUUUAAAACAAAGUUGUGAUUAUAUCAAUACUAAGUAAUGGAAAUGAAUAGCGGCGAACGAGUUAGUAAUACCUUGGUACAUACCUAGAAGAAGAAAAUAACCAGUUGAAAGAUUGGCUAAUGUUCUAUAAUCCCGCAAGGGUAAAGGAGUAAUCCGCUUUUAGAUUGGCCUAGGCCCGAUCAGCUAGUUGGUGAGGUAAUGGCUCACCAAGGCUAUGACCGGUAGGGGGGGUGAGAGCCCGUUCCCCAACGACGAGACUGAGACACGGCUCGUACACCUACGGGUGGCAGCAGUCGAGAAUAUUCCACAAUGGGCGAAAGCCUGAUGGAGCGACGCCGCGUGCGGGAUGAAAGCCUUCGGGUCGUAAACCGCUUUUCCACGGGAAAAAUCCCUCACCCUUCUUUGUGAAAAAAGAAGAAAUUCCAAGUUAUUUCAUUAGGAAGGGUGAGGGAUGAUUGUACCGUGGGAAUAAGAGGUUGCUAACUCUGUGCCAGCAGCAGCGGUAAUACAGAGACCUCAAGCGUUAUCCGGAUUUAUUGGGCGUAAAGAGCGGGUAGGAUGUUUAAUAAGUUUAAUGUUAAAUCUUAAGGCUUAACUUUAAGGCUGCGUUGAAUACUGUUAAACUAGAGGGCGUUAGAGGCAAAUGGAACAGCCAGUGUAGGGGUGAAAUCCGUUGAUAUUGGCUGGAACACCAAAGGCGAAGGCAUUUUGCUGGGACGUCCCUGACUCUGAUCCGCGAAAGCGUGGGUAGCAAAAAGGAUUAGAUACCCUUGUAGUCCACGCCCUAAACAAUGUCUACUAGCUGUUGGGAGUAUCGACCCUCUCGGCGGCGAAGCUAACGCGUUAAGUAGAUCGCCUGGGAAGUACGGCCGCAAGGCUAAAACUCAAAGGAAUAGACGGGGACUCGCACAAGCGGUGGAGCAUGAGGUUUAAUUCGAUGGUACGCGAGGAACCUUACCAGGGUUUGAAAUGUUGGCGAAGAUUAUCCGAAAGGGUAGUCGUCUCACAAGGACGCCAGCACAGGUGCUGCAUGGUUGUCGUCAGCUCGUGGUUUGAAUUGUUCCCUUCAGUGGGGUAACGAGCGCAACCCCUGUCGUGUGUUGUAUGUAUCACGCGAGACUGCCCCCUUUUUAGAUUGGAAUUAAGAAUAAUGAAUAAUGAAUUAUGGAAAAUUUAAAGAACUAUUCUUGUAGUUUUAAAAUUUAAAAAUCAUAAUUCAUAAUUCCAAAUUCAUAAUUCUUGUUUAAGAAGGGGGAGGAAGGUAGGGAUGACGCCAAAUCAGCAUGGCCCUCUGAUACCCUGGGCCACACUCAUGCUACAAUGGUUAGCACAAAGGGUUGCCAAGUCGUAAGGCGGAGCCAAUCCCAAAAAGCUAAUCUCAGUUCGGAUUGAGGGCUGAAACUCGCCCUCAUGAAGCUGGAAUCGCUAGUAAUCGCGCAUCAGCUAUGGCACGGUGAAUACGUUCUCGAGUCCUGUACUCACCGCCCGUCAAGCCAAGGGAGCUGGAAGCGAGUAGAGCUUCGCGUAAGCGGAGUGAGCUCGAAUUCGGUGACAUGGGCUAAGUCGUAACAAGGCACGCGUAGCGGAAGCUGCGCGUGGAACA